This 99-nucleotide small nucleolar RNA is filed under the name Schizosaccharomyces octosporus yFS286. Lineage: Eukaryota; Fungi; Ascomycota; Schizosaccharomycetes; Schizosaccharomycetales; Schizosaccharomycetaceae. The record is from RNAcentral.
UACCAUGAUGAACACGAGCCAGAAGGCUCAAAUCAAUAAACCCAGCUCUUUGAGCUGCUAAAAGAAAAGCAGCUAGGAAACGAAAAACACGUUCUGAAU